UUACUAUUACCUCCGUCCCAAAAUUCUUGUCUUAGAUUUAUCUACAUACGGAAGUAUUUGACAGUAAACUAUGAAUUGAUACAUCCAUAUGUAGACAAAUCUAUGACAACAAUUUUGGGACAGAGGGAGUAUAUG
This is a non-coding RNA of Triticum aestivum (bread wheat), 135 nucleotides long. NCBI's taxonomy places the organism in Eukaryota, Viridiplantae, Streptophyta, Magnoliopsida, Poales, Poaceae. The record is from Rfam.